This is a non-coding RNA of Leptonychotes weddellii (Weddell seal), 69 nucleotides long. The record is from the annotation of a RefSeq genome assembly. Lineage: Eukaryota; Metazoa; Chordata; Mammalia; Carnivora; Phocidae.
CAUUAAGAAGCUAUACAGCAUUAACCUUUUAAGUUAAAGACUGAGAGUAUAUAAAUCUCUCCUUAAUGA